This 448-nucleotide ribosomal RNA is filed under the name uncultured bacterium. Its description in RNAcentral is "partial 16S ribosomal RNA". It matches the Rfam family "Bacterial small subunit ribosomal RNA", at positions 338 to 795 of the family's 1533-position model. The record is from RNAcentral.
CCUACGGGUGGCAGCAGUGGGGAAUUUUGGACAAUGGGCGCAAGCCUGAUCCAGCCAUGCCGCGUGAGGGAAGAAGGCCUUCGGGUUGUAAACCUCUUUCGGCCGGGACGAAAUCGCACGGGUGAAUAAUCCGUGUGGAUGACGGUACCGGAAGAAGAAGCACCGGCUAACUACGUGCCAGCAGCCGCGGUAAUACGUAGGGUGCGAGCGUUAAUCGGAAUUACUGGGCGUAAAGCGUGCGCAGGCGUAGACUCCCCGAGCUUAACUUGGGAAUGGCGUUUGGGACUGGGUCUCUGGAGUGCGGCAGAGGGAACUGGAAUUCCAGGUGUAGCAGUGAAAUGCGUAGAUAUCUGGAGGAACACCGAUGGCGAAGGCAGGUUCCUGGGCCAGCACUGACGCUCAUGCACGAAAGCGUGGGGAGCAAACAGGAUUAGAUACCCGAGUAGUC